GAAGGGGGCUAGCGUUGUUCGGAAUUACUGGGCGUAAAGCGCGCGCAGGCGGUCUUCCAAGUCAGUGGUGAAAGCCCGGAGCUCAACUCCGGAACUGCCAUUGAAACUGUUAGACUUGAGGAUGAGAGAGGUGAGUGGAAUUCCCAGUGUAGAGGUGAAAUUCGUAGAUAUUGGGAAGAACACCGGUGGCGAAGGCGGCUCACUGGCUCAUAUCUGACGCUCAGGCGCGAUAGCGUGGGGAUCAAACAGGAUUAGAUACCCUGGUAGUCCACGCCGUAAACGAUGAAUGCUAGCCGUUGGGCAGCUUGCUGUUCAGUGGCGCAGCUAACGCAUUAAGCAUUCCGCCUGGGGAGUACGGCCGCAAGGUUGAA
This 371-nucleotide ribosomal RNA is filed under the name uncultured bacterium. Its description in RNAcentral is "bacterial SSU rRNA". It matches the Rfam family "Bacterial small subunit ribosomal RNA", at positions 527 to 898 of the family's 1533-position model. The record is from RNAcentral.